RNAcentral lists this ribosomal RNA (797 nucleotides) under Streptomyces sp. RNAcentral describes it as "bacterial SSU rRNA". It matches the Rfam family "Bacterial small subunit ribosomal RNA", at positions 80 to 889 of the family's 1533-position model. Lineage: Bacteria; Bacillati; Actinomycetota; Actinomycetes; Kitasatosporales; Streptomycetaceae. The record is from RNAcentral.
UCGGUGGGGGAUUAGUGGCGAACGGGUGAGUAACACGUGGGCAAUCUGCCCUUCACUCUGGGACAAGCCCUGGAAACGGGGUCUAAUACCGGAUAUGACCACUUCAGGCAUCUGAUGGUGGUGGAAAGCUCCGGCGGUGAAGGAUGAGCCCGCGGCCUAUCAGCUUGUUGGUGAGGUAAUGGCUCACCAAGGCGACGACGGGUAGCCGGCCUGAGAGGGCGACCGGCCACACUGGGACUGAGACACGGCCCAGACUCCUACGGGAGGCAGCAGUGGGGAAUAUUGCACAAUGGGCGAAAGCCUGAUGCAGCGACGCCGCGUGAGGGAUGACGGCCUUCGGGUUGUAAACCUCUUUCAGCAGGGAAGAAGCGCAAGUGACGGUACCUGCAGAAGAAGCGCCGGCUAACUACGUGCCAGCAGCCGCGGUAAUACGUAGGGCGCAAGCGUUGUCCGGAAUUAUUGGGCGUAAAGAGCUCGUAGGCGGCUUGUCGCGUCGGAUGUGAAAGCCCGGGGCUUAACCCCGGGUCUGCAUUCGAUACGGGCAGGCUAGAGUGUGGUAGGGGAGAUCGGAAUUCCUGGUGUAGCGGUGAAAUGCGCAGAUAUCAGGAGGAACACCGGUGGCGAAGGCGGAUCUCUGGGCCAUUACUGACGCUGAGGAGCGAAAGCGUGGGGAGCGAACAGGAUUAGAUACCCUGGUAGUCCACGCCGUAAACGUUGGGAACUAGGUGUUGGCGACAUUCCACGUCGUCGGUGCCGCAGCUAACGCAUUAAGUUCCCCGCCUGGGGAGUACGGCCGC